GGUCUCUUAACUCAGUUGGUUAGAGUGUGGAGCUAAUAUUAGAUCACUCCAAAGUCGCAGGUUCGAGCCCUGCAGGGACCA
Molecule: transfer RNA, 81 nt
Organism: Wallemia ichthyophaga EXF-994
Lineage: Eukaryota; Fungi; Basidiomycota; Wallemiomycetes; Wallemiales; Wallemiaceae
Rfam family: tRNA
About the family: Transfer RNA (tRNA) molecules are approximately 80 nucleotides in length. Their secondary structure includes four short double-helical elements and three loops (D, anti-codon, and T loops).
Source: Rfam